This 1267-nucleotide unclassified non-coding RNA is filed under the name Haliotis rufescens (red abalone). Its description in RNAcentral is "stearoyl-CoA desaturase 5-like, transcript variant X8". The record is from RNAcentral. Lineage: Eukaryota; Metazoa; Mollusca; Gastropoda; Lepetellida; Haliotidae.
CUCUUCCUCAUUGUCAUGUUGCCUGCAUCGAGAUUUAGAUUGGUGUGGAUAUUAGCAUAUUAUUACAAGGCGAGCCUGUGUGCUAAUACACCGAGCCGACUAACACAAAGUACCAGCGGACGGACUCCAGCCCGUGUUUCUGACCGCUUCGAACAGCAUCGGGAAAACAUCAAUAUGGCUCCCAAGAAUGUAAUAAUGGAAACCACUCCAUCGGAGGACAUGUUAACUGGAUCCUCUGAAGUGGAGCCAGUCAUCACAGCAGAAACACAUGCUCAGAAACGUCCCCCUAUGAAGAUAGUAUGGAAGAAUGUAGUGCUGUUUGCCAUGCUGCACCUGGCUGCAGUGUACUCGCUGGUACUCAUCCCCCAGGCCCACCUCUACACCUUGCUGUGGAGUGCUUUCAUGUACGUAUUUGCGGCCCUGGGCAUCACAGCAGGGGCACAUCGUUUAUGGGCACACCGUUCCUACAAGGCCAGAAUGCCAGUGCGUAUCCUGCUAGCUAUCAUGGAUUCUACUGCCUUUCAAAACUCUAUAUUUGAGUGGAGUCGUGACCACCGGUGUCAUCACAAGUAUUCGGAGACAGAUGCAGACCCCCAUAAUGCUAAGCGAGGGUUCUUCUUUUCCCACAUGGGAUGGUUGUUGGUGAAAAAACACCCUGAUGUCAUAGCCAAGGGAAAACAGCUGGAGAUGGCCGACCUUAAAGCUGAUCCUGUUGUCAGAGUCCAGGAAAAAUUAUAUGUUCCAUCUGUGCUGCUAUUCUGUUUCAUUGUGCCAAGCAUGGUACCGUGGUGUUUCUGGGGGGAGAGUCUGUUUGUAUCCUUCUACCUUGCUGCCAUCUUGCGUUACUGCCUGGGACUGAAUGCAACCUGGCUAGUGAACAGUGCUGCACACAUGUGGGGCAUGAGGCCCUACGACAAGCGCAUCAACCCGGCAGAGAACAUGAUGGUGGCACUGAGUGCUGUAGGGGAGGGAUUCCACAACUACCACCAUACCUUUCCUCAGGACUAUGCAACCAGUGAAUUUGGGUGGAAAAUCAACUUAACCACUUUCUUUAUUGACACCAUGGCGUAUCUAGGACAAGCUUAUGACCGACGCAAGAUUCCUGCAGAUGUUAUCAAGGCAAGGAAACUGAGGACAGGGGAAGGUAGCCCUUGAUUGAAGACUAUGGAGAUAGAUUGCUGGGUUUUGGUAGGAGUGGACACACAAGCUGCAACAAUGUUUCAGAAAACAAUCCUGGGUAUGACAAAAUAAAUCGACCAAAAGUUGA